This 493-nucleotide ribosomal RNA is filed under the name Acrobeloides sp. Sourhope farm. RNAcentral's name for it is "SSU rRNA". It matches the Rfam family "Eukaryotic small subunit ribosomal RNA", at positions 46 to 536 of the family's 1831-position model. Lineage: Eukaryota; Metazoa; Nematoda; Chromadorea; Rhabditida; Cephalobidae. The record is from RNAcentral.
AAGCCAUGCAUGUCUAAGUAUAAACGAUUUAAUCGUGAAACCGCGAAUGGCUCAUUAUAACAGCUAUAAUUUACUUGAUCUUGACACAAUCCUACUUGGAUAACUGUGGUAAUUCUAGAGCUAAUACAUGCAUUAAAGCUCUGACCUCACGGGAAGAGUGCAUUUAUUAGAACAAAACCAAGCGGCUUCGGCUGUUUCUGGUUGACUCAUAGUAACUGAGCUGAUCGCAUGGUCUUGCACCGGCGACGUGUCUUUCAAGUAUCUGCCGUAUCAACUUUCGAUGGUAGUGUAUCUGACUACCAUGGUGAUCACGCGUAACGGAGAAUAAGGGUUCGGCUCCGGAGAGUUCGCCUGAGAAAUCGCGAACACAUCUAAGGAAGGCAGCAGGCGCGAAAAUUCCCCACUCUCAGCACGAGGAGGUAGUGACGAAAAAUAACGAGACCGUUCUCUUAUGAGGCCGGUCAUCGGAAUGUGGUACAAUUUAAACCCUUUA